CUUUUUUUUGCACAAAAUAAAUGCCCAGCCGCCGCCGCCGCCGCCUCCUCGGGAGCCUCUAUCUCUCCGCUCGCAGCAUCUUUGCACAUGCCAGCCGCUCCGAUCCCAUUCACGGUCCCGGCUCCGCUCGCUGGCUCUCGCUCGGCGCGGGUCGCGCUUUCGGGUGGCAGGGAGAAGAAAUGUCUCUCCCCGUUAGACAGCACGGGGGAAGAAGGCAGGCUCCGGGGUCUCUUUCUCUCAGGGCGACUGAUGCUGCUUCUGUUGUCAACAAGCCCCGCGAGCUGCUCUGCGGAUCCGUCUGUGGAUCUUUUUUUCUCUGCAAGGCUUUAAAUACAAAAGUGCCCUCCGAGCAGCAGCAACGUGCUCUGAUUAGGCCUCAUUAUGCAUGCAUGGAAAAGCAAACAAACAAAAAAAAUUAGCAACGCUUCUUCUUUUACACAUCCCCCCAGCCUGCGCUCUCUCGCUCUCUUUCUCCUUUUCUCCACUUUUUUCUCCCUUCGCUCGGCCCCCUUUCCCGGCUUUGCGACUUGCCAUUGGUCCAGCCUGUUGUUGAAACUUCCCCCCCCCCCCCCCCGCUUUUUUUUUCUCUUCCCUCCUCUCUUUACGAUCUACUGGAGGGAGGGAAGGAGAGAGGGGGCUGGAGGGCAGCUCACAUUCAAAGCUUGAAAGGAAAGGCUUAAGGAGAGUGACAGCCCCCCGAGGAGCCCCUCCUCCCGUUAAGGCGGCGCGGCGGCGCGGAUCGGGCACGGCGGGGCUCUCGCGGGGCUCUGCCCGGUCCCUGCCCGGUCCCUGCCCGGUCCCUGCCCGGUGUCUCCCGGGGCUCUCCCCAGAACACCGCACCGCGGCGGCGGCGUGGGUCUGCGGGCGGCUCGGGCGGGGAUGACGCCCGACGCGCUGCUCGCAAGAGCAGGAUAAAGGAAAAAAAAAAAAAGAAAAUGAGUCUCUAGCUCGAGCGCUGUUUGCACCCAAACUUCCCCCAAACUUCCCACAGACACACGUGAGAGCAGAGCAGGACCCGGCUCGGGGUGAGACCGACUUUGUUCUUGCUGCAAUCCGAGCAGAGAUCGGAUCUCCUGCUUUCGGUGCGUUAGUACGCGGCGGGAGAGCAAAGCUGCCUGUGUUAGCGGUGUGCUGCAACCAAGAAGUAGACACGAAAGUAUACAUAUUAAGGCACAACGAGAGGAGCUUAACAAAAUAAAUACUGGUGAGUUUACCCGUUGCCUUUCUUUUUCGUGCUACCUUAAUUCCAGAGCAACGUCGGCUUCGACCACAAGGGGCAUCGGUAUCUGCUGCCUGUCAAAACUGGCGCUUUUUUUCAUCCUGAGACUAUCAACUCCAUCUGUCACAAAAAUUAGGGCUAAAUCUAUUUUCCAGAACCUCAGGGAUCUUGGUUUGCUAUGCCGUGUGGAUGGAUGUCUGUCUGGGAUCGCAUGGAAGGUGGGGUAGUGGUGUGGUGGGGCUGGGAGGCAGCGUGAUUGAUGGGUUGGGAGGCAUUCACAAGCAUUUGCUCCAUUGUGGUCACUUUUACACGCUGCUAGUGCUUCUUCUUCAAUGCAGUCUUGCCUCUUCUGGUGGAAAAAAAAAAAAAAAAGAAAAAAAAAAAGUGCUUGCAUGUUUUCAAAUCCAUUAAAACUACUUCCAGAGCAACA
This is a long non-coding RNA of Oxyura jamaicensis (ruddy duck), 1649 nucleotides long. RefSeq lists it as uncharacterized. The record is from RefSeq and is a predicted model, not a curated record. NCBI's taxonomy places the organism in Eukaryota, Metazoa, Chordata, Aves, Anseriformes, Anatidae. The transcript is spliced from 2 exons.